Molecule: RNA transcript, 6380 nt
Organism: Lemur catta (Ring-tailed lemur)
Lineage: Eukaryota; Metazoa; Chordata; Mammalia; Primates; Lemuridae
Gene: TICRR
Gene name: TOPBP1 interacting checkpoint and replication regulator
Exons: 22
Source: RefSeq, a predicted model, not a curated record
GUGAAUGGCGCUGGUUCCCUGAGGGAAGGGCCUAGGGGAGAGCGGCGCCGACCGGGACCGGAGCCCCAGGGCGGCUGCACGGCAGACAUGGCGUCCUGCCACAAAGUACUGCUGCUGCUGGACACCGCGGGCAGCGCCGCUCGCCACAGCCGGGUCCGGCGGGCCGCCCUGCGCCUCCUCACCUACCUGAGUUGCCGAUUCGGCCUAGCCAGGGUCCACUGGGCCUUCAAGUUCUUCGACUCGCAGGGGGCGCGGAGCCGGCCCUCCCGCGUGUCUGACUUCCGCGAGCUGGGGGCUCGCUCGUGGGAGGACUUUGAGGAAGAGCUGGAGGCCAGGCUCGAGGAUCGCGCCCACCUGCCCGGCCCAGCGCCCAGGGCCACCCACACGCACAGCGCCCUGAUGGAGACGCUGCUAGACUACCAGUGGGACCGGCCCGAGAUCACGUCGCCCACGAAGCCGAUCCUGAGGAGCAGCGGGAGGCGGCUAGUGGACGUGGAGAGCGAGGCCAAGGAGGCCGAGAGCGCGCUCGGGGGCUUUGUGAAUGCCGUCUUCCUCCUGGCCCCCUGUCCGCAUUCGCAGAGGGAGCUGCUGCAGUUCGUGUCUGGGUGCGAGGCCCAGACCCAGCGCCUGUCGCCUACCCCCAAGCAGGUGAUGGAGAAGUUGUUGCCCAAGAGAGUCCAGGAAGUCAUGAUCGCCCGAAAAAUCACCUUGUACUGGGUGGAUACCACUGAACGGUCUCAGUUAUGGGAGUCCCUAGACCACCUUGGGUACUGGACAGUUUGUGAACUGCUCCGCCAUGGAGGAGGUACCGUCUUGCCAUCUGAAUCUUUCAGCGGGGAUUUUACUAAAGCUGGAGAAACACUGCUCAGGGGUGAAAGAAAGCUGUCAAGUGAACCUCAUUUCUGUCCGUGGAUUUCAACUCUGCCAACUGAGGCCACUUUAAACCGCUUGCUCUAUAAUUCUCCUGGGUAUGAAGCCUUGUUUCCACAGAUAGAAGGAACAUUAUUUCUCCCUGUUGAAGGCAAAGAGAUUCAAGAAACAUGGACAGUCACCCUAGAGCCCUUGGCCAUGCAUCAGAGACAUUUUCAGAAACCAGUCAGAAUUUUUCUAAAAGGCUCAGCAGCCCAGUGGUCUCUCCCGAUGAGCAGCACUUUGGGGACUGACAGCUGGAUGUUACAAAGUCCAGAGGAGAACACGUCAACUCAAAAGCUGUUAUUUCAGCAGCUGGUAAGCAGGCUGACUGCUGAAGAGUUACAUCUGGUUGCCGAUGUGGACCCUGGUGACGGCUGGCCCCCCAUCACUGGUGUUAUUUCCCCGCUGUCUGCCAACGCUAUGGUUCUCACUGUGUUCCGCACCAAGGAGGCUGACUUUCAAAGACAUUUUUUCCAAGCGAUUGUGGCCCAGGGCCCCCAGGAUACAGCUUCCCUUUUCUCAGAUGUUGUGGAUUGUGUAUUAAAUCAGAUUGAUAAUUCACUUGAAGAUCCUGCUACUGCUGCUCCUCCUGUUCCAGAGUGGGCCCAGCAGGAGAUUGAGCGCACCGUUCGCUGGAGUCCGGCUGUUGUGGAAAAAUGGUUUCCUUUCUCUAAUAUCAGUGGUGCCAGUUCAACUUUGAUGGAGUCAUUUUGGUUACUACAGGCUGCCUCAGCUAAUAAGGAAGAGUCUUAUAAAACUGAAAGUGAAUUAACGCAUUGUCUCUCCGAGCUCUACCAGAGAAAAUCUUGUGAAGAAUCCACCGUAGCUAAUCAAGAAGACAACAAAAAGAAACGGAGUGUCCCUCGCACUCCAGUGAGGCAGAAGAUGAAUGCUAUGUGCCGUUCCUUAAAGAUGUUGAAUGUUGCAAGGCUGAAUGUAAAGGCUCAGAAGUUACUUCCAGAUGGCAGCCCAGACACAGCUGGGGAGAAAGGGAUCCAAAAAAUAGCCAGUGGAAAAACAGCAGAUAAAUUGCAAGAAAGAGGAAGAACAUUAAGAAGUUCCAAACCUAAAGAUUUUAAAACUGAGGAGGAGCUACAAUCUUACAUACGUGAAAAUUAUCAAAAGACUGUGGCCACAGGAGAAAUCAAGUUGUAUUCAUGUGCUCGGAACAUGAUCUCAACUAUUAAAAUGUUCCUAAAAUCAAAAGACACCAAAGAAUUAGAAGUGAACUGCCUGAAUCAAGUAAAAAGUAACCUCUUAAAAACUAGCAAAAGCCUUCGACAGAACCUAGGGAAAAAACUGGACAAGGAAGACAAACUCAGAGAGUGCCAGCUUCAGGUGUUUCUUCGUUUGGAGAUGUGUCUGCAGUGCCCUUCAAUACUUGAAAGUACAGAUGAUAUGGAGCAAAUAGUGGAGGAGAUGACAGAUUUGCUGCGCACGGUGUGUUUAACUGAGGACUCAGCUUACCUAGCAAAGUUUCUGGAGGAAAUUUUGAGACUGUAUAUUGACUCUAUCCCAAAGACACUUGGAAAUCUUUAUGACAGCCUAGGGUUUAUGAUUCCUCAGAAGCUGGCUGGUGUUCUUCCUACAGAUUUUUUCAGUGAUGACUCUAUGACACAAGAGAACAAAUCACCACUUCUUUCUGUGCCUUUUGUGGCAAGUGCUCAUAGAUCAGUGUCAGGCAGCACUGAAUUUGACCAACUGGAGGAGCUUCGUACCAGAUCAGCCAAAAAGAGAAGGAAAAAUGCAUUAAUAAGACACAAAAGCAUUGCUGAGAUUUCACAGAAUCUUCGACAAAUUGAAAUUCCCAAAGUGUCCAAGAGAGCUACAAAAAAAGAGAACUCUCACCCUGCUCUUCAGCAGCCUCCACUCCCAGUGAAAGAUACAGUACAAGAAGUGACUAAAGUUCGAAGAAAUCUCUUCAACCAGCAAAUGCUUUCUCCUUCAAAGAGAUCACUAAAGCGGGGGUUGCCUAGAAGCCAUUCUGUGUCAGCUGUGGAAGGUCUAGAAUAUAAACUUGACAAUUUUAAGAAGACUAAAGGUCAUCACAAAUUGCUGACUAAGAAUGUGGCCGAGACGCCAGUCCAUAAGCAAAUCUCCAGAAGGCUGCUUCAGAGACAAAUCAAGGGCAGAUCCUCUGAUCCUGGUCUUGAUAUUGAUGUUGUUGAAGAGUCCCCUGAAAAGGGAAAUGAAAUAAGUUUGAGACGAAGUCCUCGAAUCAAGCAGUUGUCACUUAGCAGGACAAAUUCUGGUUCCUUCUAUUCUUUGUCUCAGCCAAAGUCUCGAAGUGUGCAAAGAGUCUACUCAUUCCAGCAAGACAAGUCAGACCAAAGAGAAAAUUCUCCAGUUCAAAGUAUUCGGUCUCCCAAGAGGCUUCUUUUUGGGGCAAUGUCUGAGAUGAUCAGCCCCUCAGAGAAGGGUUCAGCCCUAAUUAAAAGGCCUUCAAGAAACACGUUGGGUUCAGAGAUACCUACAGCUUACCAGACUCCCAAGAAGAGUUACCAGAAAUCUCCAACCUUUCCUAAAACUACACCAAGAAGGUUCCCUCGUACACCACAAACUCCAUCAUACACUCCAGAAAGGCUGCAAAAAUCCCCUGCAGAAAUGACACCUGCAAAGCAGACAAUUUUUAAAGAGUCCUUAAAAAACUCUUCCUUACAUGGCUGUGACUCACCAUUGGGUUCAAAAAUCACUCCUCAGAAAAGAUACUCCCUGGCAAAAGAAGGUGCCUCUCUUGAAACAGAGAUACCAAGAACUCCCAAAAGGCAAGGUGCUCAGCCGCCUGGGCGUUUGCUGAGUUGUACUUGGCCGCAUUCAGUGAGUUCCGGUCUAGAUAGCUCCUCCUGUCCGGCAUCCCCAGCCCCAUCGACUGCCCGGCCGAAGCGUGACUGUCUGACUCCCGGCAGCCACUCUCUCAGAACACCUCCGAGAGCAGCAGCCUUCCCAGAAACACCUCCGAAUCAAAAACGCCAGAAGCCUCAUGUGCCCAGAGCUUCCAAGGCAGAAGCACCAGCCCAGAUACUAAAGGACGAAGCUGUCAAAACCCCAAAGAGACCAGGGAAUACACCGGUGAUCUCUUCCCCACCUAUUACUCCAAAGAAACUACAUACCUCUCCUUUAUGUGAUAUUUCCAAGAGUCCCUUUAGGAAAUCUUUGCUAGAGUCUUCUCCCCCUGGAGAUCUGGAUUGGAAAAAGCCCCAGAUAUCAUCCAGUGUAGCCACAUCUCUCUCCUGUCCUGUUCCCUCAUCUCCCCCCACAAUCUCACAGAUAGCUACAUCUGAUACAGUCCCCCCACCAUCCCCUUCCCAAACUAGGAAACGGUGUAGAAACACCUCUAAUCCUGAGAGGAGCUUCCUGGAGCGCCAGCCUGACACCUCUGCUGCUCCUGGGCUUGGCGCAACUGACAGCCCCGUCUCCACCACAGACUCUAGAAAGGACCAGAAGCGGGUAGGCCUGUCUCCUCGGUCUCCUCUUAAAAGACGGAGCCACCCAGGCACUGGUUUUGGGAAUGACUGCCAUGUGUCCUCUCCUUUGCUCAUUACAAGUGACACAGAGUAUCUCACUCUCCUCGAUGAAGCUGAACAAAAUGGCAGUGAUAACGUGCAAGGUAACAUCUCACCAGUGGAAGAAGGUGAGGGGCUAAGGACAGUGGUUGCCGAUGAGAAGCCUUCUCUGUCUCACGCUGGGAUUCCUCCGUCUCCUCCUUCCUCUGGGCCCAGCUCUCCUCUGACACCCUCCUACGACCUGUGCCGUACUGCGGACAGAAGGCAGCGCCGGGCUGCAGCACAGCUGGAGAACCCACAGGCACCAGCCUGGCAUUCCAAAGCCUCUGCCAGCUUGCAGACCUACGAAGUUGAGCUGGAGAUGCAAGCUUCUGGCCUUCCCAAGCUUCGGAUUAAAAAGAUAGACCCCAGCUCUUUGUUAGAAGCCGAGUGCCUAAGAAAGGAGGAAAGCUGUCUGGGAGAGGAGAGCUUCUGCCCAGGUCUCAGCAUGCCCAGGGGCAGCAGGGCCUCAGGCAAACCCGAACCCACCUACGUGUCGCCCCCCUGCCUCCGCCCCUCCCACAGCACGCCCGGCAAGAGUGGGAGGCAAACCUACAUCUGCCAGUCCUGUACCCCCACCCGCUGCCCCUCUAGUACCCCCUCUCCCUUUCAGACAGAUGUUGGGGUUCCUUGGACACCAUCCCCCAAGCACAGUGGGAAGAUAACUCCUGACACAAUUAAAGACUGGCCCAGGAGGAAGAGGGCGGUGGACUGCAGUGCCGGCCCCUCUGCUGGAAGAGGCGAGGUCAGCACAGACCUUUCUGGGAGCCUGUGGUUGCUGGAUCCCGAGGGAAAUGAGCGGGGCCUUGAAGUUAGCAUCCACAAGGCUCCCAUCUUGGAGGAUUUCGAGCUCGAGGGGGUGUGUCAGCUGCCAGACCAAUCGCCCCCCAGGAACAGUGUGCCUAAGGCUGAGGAAGCCACCUCAUGGGGGCAGUUGGGGUUGAGUUCCAGGAAGAGACACCUGUCUGCCAAGGAAGAAGCUGAGUAUGGAGCCAAAAGAGUGUGUGACAACCUGAGAGAAGACUCAGAGAGGUCUCCAAGUUCAAGUAUGCAACAGCUCCCCUCCAUAGGAGACGAUGAGGUGUUUGUUCCUGGCUCCACCCCACCUCCCGGCUGUGCCCCGCGGAGCUGCCUCUCUGCCAGCGGUCUCCAGGCUCUGACCCAGUCUCCACUGCUGUUCCAGGGGAGGACACCUUCCUCUCAGUGCAAAGAAAACAGAGGUAAUUUGUCUGCUCGAGGUCCAGGAUCAAGCUCCUGUCCUGUGGGUGACUCUUAAGUUCACGCAGGGUUGCCAGGCAACUCGAUUUUGGAGGAGGCUUGGGAAAGCCAAGUAUGGGAUAGAGGAUUUUGUGCCUGCAGUAUCAUGUGUCCUUCCCAGAGAAACUCCACAUCUGUGGAUUGUGCAAACUGUAAAUCUGAACAGAAACCCCCUCCAAACCCUACUAGAAAAUCUUAAAACAUUCAGUCUUCCUGAAGAUGGUGACAGAGGCGGGCAUACUGCAAUGAACUGCUCACGCAGAACCUGCACAGGAAGGUGUUCUGAGCAGCACGAGUGACAGCAUGUUUGAGCCAGGUCCCCGCAGUGGGUUCCUCCCGUGUUUUCUGUACAUGCGGCAUGGUGACUAUAGUGGCGACCAGCCUUCAGACUCCAGGACUCGCCUUCCAUGACACCAUCUGAAAGAACAGGAUCUGGCCUGCUAACUACACUGUUGGAACUGAAAGGGAUGUAGGAGGUGGUUCUCGUCCCUCAAAACUAGGAUGAAAUCAUGCAAAAUAGCAUAACCCCACAGAGCUGAGAGAAUGUACAGUGUAUCAGACGGGGAAUUCAAACCACAGAUGAGGAGAGGGAUGUAUUUCCCUCCGCUACAGAAGAUUCUCCUUUCAGCCGAGCACCCUCCAGGAGACGCCCCAUCAGCAGAACUUACU